Pezoporus occidentalis (night parrot) is the source of this 1228-nucleotide long non-coding RNA. RefSeq lists it as uncharacterized. The record is from RefSeq and is a predicted model, not a curated record. The transcript has 3 exons. Lineage: Eukaryota; Metazoa; Chordata; Aves; Psittaciformes; Psittacidae.
UGCUCCAUGCACCAGAGCGGAAAUUCCUCUGCAGCCCAUAGAGGUUAAUGGGGGAGCAGAUCUCCACCUGCAGCCCAUGCAGAACCACACACCAGAGCAGGCAGGUGCCCAGAGGAGACUGUGAUCCCAUGGGAAGCCUGCAAUGUAGCAGGCUCCUGGUAGGACCUGUGGCCCCAUGUCUAGAGGAGCCCACACUGCAGCAGGUUUGCUUCAGGUCCUGUGGGAGACCCACAUUGGAGCAGCCUGCUCCUGAAGGACUGAACCUUGUGGAAGGGACACACUCUGGAGCAGAACAGGAAAAUCUGCAGCCCCUGGGAAACACUCAGUGAGCCGUGUGGGUGUCUCUCUCAGUGGAAGCUGACAAUUUGAUGAUACUUCAUCAGUGUAGGACUCCUGCUGAGAAGUAGAUUGAGACAAAGAAAAUGCCUCUUAUCAUUGGAACAAAUAAGAAAUCAGAUUUUCUAAAUUACUGUUAGGCAGAUGGUCUCUCAGGGGACCAUGAAUGAACAGUGUAGCACUAUCAACAUUAGUUCUGGUGCAUGGAAGAAAUGUGCCCUCCAUCUUCAUGAUGUGGUGCCUGGAUCUUGCUGACCCAUAACACACCAAUCUCUUGCAUUUUUCUGUAGCUUUGCUGUACUCUCUUCAGUUCCUCCCUUGGAUGCCAAGUCCUGAAUAGCCCACAGUACAAGUUACAGCUUGCAAUGUCCAACUGACUUUUACUGUCAUCAACGAACUGAUAUUUGUUUCAUGUAGUGAAAUGAAUGCCUCUCCUAGCUGUUUGGAAAGCAAAUCUCUCUUUACCCUCCAGCUGGUAUUUGCUGUACUUGAGUGAGCCUGGUAAAAUUCUUGGGUUAUAAUUUCAUGCUGCUGUGUUUGGGCAGAACUAACAAGAUUUCUUAAGGCCUCCUUGAGUUUUUUAAGCCAAGCAACUGCUCUUUUCCUUGAUGGAGCUCUCCACGGCCUUAACAGCAUUGCACACACAGAUCUUCAAACAGGGACAGCAAGCAAACAGUGUUAUUACCUGCAACAACAGGUUCUGCUGAGCAUAAUGAUACACUGAGAUAGGACCUUACUGAACUUUCUGAAGUUCCCCACAACACAGUCAUAUUGCACCUUUUAUGUCUGUGCCGAGGUUCACCCUGGCUGGACACAAGGUGCCACCAAAGGUGCUCUGUCACUGCUCUCCUCAGCAGGACAGUGGGGAGAAAAUGUAACAGAAGGCUUUUGG